ACUAGGAAGGACCUCGGACUGCGCGGCGCGACGAGGGGUGUAUGGAGGAGCCCAAGGGCAGCGGGACCUAGGGCUGGCCUCAGGAAGUGUCUGGAACCCCAAAGCGCUGCCCAUGGAAGUUAUUCCUCUCCUGAAGACCAGCUCACCCUGCUGCCCAGGCCACAAAGCAAGGCGGAGAGAUGAAGGCAGCGAGAGGAACUGAGCAGAGAUGGACUGGGCCUGGGUCCCACAGGGAGGCAGCGUCACUCCUCCCGCCCUUCUAAAGAGUCCCUAACUGCUGCCUUCAGGGGUUGAGAGGUGGCUGGAGACUCCUGUCCUCCCGAUGCCAGCACUGGAGCCCUUGAUGCUUGGAGCUGCCCCAGCUCCUGCUCCCUGAGGACACAGUUCUCAGCCUGAAGGUCAGCAGUCUUGGAGUCUCCCCAGCAUAUCUGACCCCCUUCCCUAGGGGUCCCCAGAGAACAGGUGAGGCAAAAGACAGGAGCCCCACCCCAUCAAGCUCCUGCAUGCAGGGUCAUAAAGAUGAGGAUCUCUGUCAGAGUGGAACAGUAUGCAAGCCUAGACCAGGAGCGCUCCAGGCAGUGGAGCGUGCUACAUCGUCUGUCACUGGAGGCUGCAUAUCACAUCACAGUGUUUCCUGAAUUUAGUAAGAAGUGCAAAUAAUGC
RNAcentral lists this long non-coding RNA (663 nucleotides) under Equus asinus (donkey). RNAcentral describes it as "lncRNA (ENSEASG00005036561.1)". Lineage: Eukaryota; Metazoa; Chordata; Mammalia; Perissodactyla; Equidae. The record is from RNAcentral.